Molecule: ribosomal RNA, 494 nt
Filed under: uncultured bacterium
Lineage: Bacteria
Description: partial 16S ribosomal RNA
Rfam family: Bacterial small subunit ribosomal RNA
Source: RNAcentral
GACGAACGCUGGCGGCGUGCUUAACACAUGCAAGUCGAACGGAAAGGCCUGCUUUCCCUUGUGGAUUGCGGGUACUCGAGUGGCGAACGGGUGAGUAACACGUGAGUGAUCUGCCCCCAACUUGGGUAUAAGCCUGGGAAACUGGGUCUAAUUCCCGAUAGGACUGCAGGGUGGUGCCUGUGGUGGAAAACGAUUUUCUAGUGGUUGGGGAUGAGCUCGCGGCCUAUCAGCUUGUUGGUGGGGUAAUGGCCUACCAAGGCGGCGACGGGUAGCCGGCCUGAGAGGGUGGACGGCCGAAUUGGGACUGAGAUACGGCCAAGACUCCUACGGGAGGCAGGAGUGGGGAAUAUUGCACAAUGGGGGGAAGACUGAAGCAGCGACGCCGAGUGGGGGAUGACGGGCUUCGGGUUGUAAACUCCUUUCGACCGCGAGGAAGCCACCUGGUUGGAAGGGUGGUGACGGUAGUGGUAGAAGAAGCACCGGCUAACUACGUG